Morone saxatilis (striped sea-bass) is the source of this 378-nucleotide long non-coding RNA. RefSeq lists it as uncharacterized. Lineage: Eukaryota; Metazoa; Chordata; Actinopteri; Moronidae. The record is from RefSeq and is a predicted model, not a curated record. The transcript is spliced from 3 exons.
UCAGGUGGUGUGUGUGUGUGUGUUGCUGAGUGGACGCGUUUCUCCGGCAGAAUUAACCUGCGAGACACUGAUCCUGCUGUCCACCAACCUGACAGCGAGGACGUUGGCGUUAUUGAACCAGACGUUCACCAUCAGUAACUCCUCAGGUCUGUACUGUGACCUGUCUGUGGACGGGAUAGGAACCUGCUGGCCUCGAAGUGCAGCAGGAGAGCUGAUCUCCAGACCUUGUCCUGAACAGUUCAAUGGCAUCCACUACAAUACCACCAGUAAGUUCCUGUCUGUCUACCUGUCUGUCUACCUGUUGCUGUGUCCCAACUUAGGAGCUGGAUUCAACAAGGGAUGUCAACCACAACGUGUUCUUGAAGUUAAUUUGCAAGA